GGUUCCAUAGUGUAGUGGUUAGCACAUCUGCUUUACAUGCAGAAGGUCCUAGGUUCACACCCCAGUGGAGCCA
This 73-nucleotide transfer RNA is filed under the name Pteropus alecto (black flying fox). It matches the Rfam family "tRNA". From Rfam's summary of the family: Transfer RNA (tRNA) molecules are approximately 80 nucleotides in length. Their secondary structure includes four short double-helical elements and three loops (D, anti-codon, and T loops). Further hydrogen bonds mediate the characteristic L-shaped molecular structure. tRNAs have two regions of fundamental functional importance: the anti-codon, which is responsible for specific mRNA codon recognition, and the 3' end, to which the tRNAs corresponding amino acid is attached (by aminoacyl-tRNA synthetases). tRNAs cope with the degeneracy of the genetic code in two manners: having more than one tRNA (with a specific anti-codon) for a particular amino acid; and 'wobble' base-pairing, i.e. permitting non-standard base-pairing at the 3rd anti-codon position. Lineage: Eukaryota; Metazoa; Chordata; Mammalia; Chiroptera; Pteropodidae. The record is from Rfam by way of RNAcentral.